Colossoma macropomum (tambaqui) is the source of this 227-nucleotide long non-coding RNA. RefSeq lists it as uncharacterized. Lineage: Eukaryota; Metazoa; Chordata; Actinopteri; Characiformes; Serrasalmidae. The record is from RefSeq and is a predicted model, not a curated record. The transcript has 3 exons.
AAAAAGAACCGCAAAGGAAACAAUGAAGCAGUGAAGCCACCAAAUGAUGUGACUUAUUCCCAAAUUAAGAUGAAAAACCUGGGAGAUCACCACAGAGAUGGUCUUUGAAGAAAACCGCUGCUGCUGUUGCAGGACAGAAAAGUAACCAUAUUACAGAAACUCCUGGUUGGGGUUUUAAGGAGUGCUGACGGAAGAGGAUCUGAACACAUUUAGACUGUCAGAAUUAU